CGUCAUUUUUCGGAGAUCAAGGCUAUUUGAUUAGCUUUUGACUCACUAAUUUCUUUCACGACUGAACAUUUAAUUUUUUAAGAAAAGGGGAAAAAAGUUCAAACUACCCCUAUUUGAAAAGAUUUUGGGUUCGGGGGUUAGUUACAUAAAGGGAAGGUGUUAGCACCCUUUAUGUCCGUAGUACUCUACGGGAACCUCUUGGUUUUAUUUACUUUUUGUGCUAUA
This 225-nucleotide long non-coding RNA is filed under the name Medicago truncatula (barrel medic). RNAcentral's name for it is "long non-coding RNA (MTRU_LNC003942)". The record is from RNAcentral. Lineage: Eukaryota; Viridiplantae; Streptophyta; Magnoliopsida; Fabales; Fabaceae.